Molecule: unclassified non-coding RNA, 185 nt
Filed under: fungal sp.
Lineage: Eukaryota; Fungi
Description: partial internal transcribed spacer region
Rfam family: Eukaryotic small subunit ribosomal RNA (bases 1-46)
Source: RNAcentral
AAGUCGUAACAAGGUUUCCGUAGGUGAACCUGCGGAAGGAUCAUUACCGAUUUUAGCGAACCUGGUCGUUUUUGACCAGGGUUUCGUGAAAUUUGUAUUUAAAACCCACACUUAUUAAAUAAUAAAAUUAUCGUAUCAAUUUAUGAUAAAAAAGAUCACUUUCAACAACGGAUCUCUUGGCUCUC